UACGUAGGUGGCAAGCGUUGUUCGGAUUUACUGGGCGUAAAGGGAGCGUAGGUGGAUAUUUAAGUGGGAUGUGAAAUACUCGGGCUUAACCUGAGUGCUGCAUUCCAAACUGAAUAUCUAGAGUGCAGGAGAGGAAAGUAGAAUUCCUAGUGUAGCGGUGAAAUGCGUAGAGAUUAGGAAGAAUACCAGUGGCGAAGGCGACUUUCUGGACUGUAACUGACACUGAGGCUCGAAAGCGUGGGGAGCAAACAGG
RNAcentral lists this ribosomal RNA (253 nucleotides) under uncultured bacterium. RNAcentral describes it as "partial 16S ribosomal RNA". It matches the Rfam family "Bacterial small subunit ribosomal RNA", at positions 524 to 776 of the family's 1533-position model. The record is from RNAcentral.